This 880-nucleotide ribosomal RNA is filed under the name Circinaria hispida. RNAcentral describes it as "Agrestia hispida partial 12S small subunit ribosomal RNA". It matches the Rfam family "Bacterial small subunit ribosomal RNA", at positions 401 to 1169 of the family's 1533-position model. The record is from RNAcentral. Lineage: Eukaryota; Fungi; Ascomycota; Lecanoromycetes; Pertusariales; Megasporaceae.
ACUUGGAGGAUGUAUAGCGAAAGCUAGUUGCAUUAAAUUCGAUUAAUUCGAAGUUAAUGCAUCAUCGACUAUGUCGAAUAAAGUUCUAGGUAGAGUUAUGAUAAUGACAUUUUCUAUCUAUGUGUCUUGACCAAGUCACGUGCCAGCAGUCGCGGUAAUACGUGGAAGACUAGUGUUAUUCAUCUUUAAUAGGUUUAAAGGGUACUUAGACGGUAAAUUAAGCCCAGAUAAAAACAAAGGGUACUAAUUAUACUAGAGUUGGAUAUGAGGAGGGUGUGUACUAGUGGUGUAGAGAUGAAAUUCAGUCAUACCAUUAUGACAGGCAACGGCGAAAGCAACCUUUAGAUAAAAACUGACGUUAAAGGACGAAGGCUUUGUGUCACCAACAGGAUUAGAUACCCAAGCAGUCUUAGCAGACAAUUAUGAAUGCCAUAGGUAAGAAGAAAAGACAUUUAUUUUUUUUUGCAGAAUUUAUAGCUAAUAUAAAUAAAAAAGAAAUAAAUGUGACAUUUAUUUUUUUUUUGGCAUAAUUUAUAGAUAAUAUAAAUAAAAAAAAGAAAUAGGAUGUCACAUUAUCUACAAAAGAUGAUGUUUUUUUUGUCUAUAAAUGAAAGUGUAAGCAUUCCACCUCAAGAGUAAUGUGGCAACGCAGAAACUGAAAUCAUUAGACCGUUUCUGAAACCAGUAGUGAAGUAUGUUGUUUAAUUAGAUGGUCCGCAAAAAACCUUACCACAAUUUGUAUAUUAUUAGCUUAAUACAAGAGUUGCACGGCUGUUUUUAGUUAAUGUCGUGAGAUUUUGGUUAGUUCCAUUAAAUUAACGUAAACCCUUACUUUAUUUAUAUUAUAAAGUAGUUCACCGCUAGAUUGGAUAUGAUAAGA